UUCCGGAGUGUGGCUCUACCAUGGCUGGUACAUCUCGUUUCCUGCUGACGGACAUGCAGAUGCCAGGAGCAACCCCCACGCCAGACGUGGUAACCAGAAAGGUCUCCAGUCAUUGCCAAAUAUUCCCCGGAAGACGCCAUAAGCUGCCUCGUCGAGAACCACUGGGUCAUGACUCCAAUAGUCAGCUGUGCUUCCAGAUCUUGGCUGGGCAACAGCCACCUGUGAAUAAGGUGCCUGCCCCUGCCUGGAAGAUUUACUCUCUAGCCCGCAGUUUAAAUCCUGGAACAACGCGACAAGUCACUACCCCAUUGAGUUAAACCCCAUUGGACAGGAGCUCGUGGAAGUGUCUCUUCUAAGGGCUGACCUCGUGCCGCCGACGCACUGCUCGAGACUGCUCCCAGCACCCCGGUGUCCCUGCCGCAGGCCGCUCCCCCCACCAGCCCGCCCCACUUAGCAGGUUCAUUAUGCCUCGGGUCCAACGUCAUAGCAGAAGUUUGGAAUUUUCCAGGAGAGGUGGCCUCGCCUGGGGUGGGGGGAUGCGCCCAUGUGGGGCUCGUGGUCCUGCCACGGGGGGCCCGUGGCUUCUCUCUGUGGGCCUCAGGGAUGGAGUUUGGCUCAGGAGUGUGGCUGCCUUGCUCUUAGGUCACCAAAUCGUGUGGGGAUCGGGGCGCUAGGGGAACCCACCUCCCUGGCCACAGGGAGGAGUAAAUGAGUCACGAUGUGGAUGGGACAGUACCUGCCACACCAUAAGGACCCACCAGGACCUGCUUUUCUGGUUGGUAUAAUGGCCACCCCACAAACAGUAACCCAGUGGGUCUCACUGCCCUUGUUUGGGAGGCAAGACGGGGAGGUGGGGAUCAUCUCUCAGGUCUGGAUUCUCAAAGCCUUGUCCUGGGCCGGCAGCAGAAAACACAGGUGCGCUCCACACCCCCAGGGGCUUCGUGGCACCCUGAAGUUUGAGAAGCACGGCUGUGAGGCACCUUCCAGCCCUGGAGGGCUGGCAUUCCCCGCCCAGUCCUGGGUGAGUUCUGUCUCCCAGAUUCACAUCCAUCAGAACAGCAACCUCAGGUAAGCCCUGCGUGUGAACCUUUUCUCCUGCUUUUCUGGAAUGCUUUCUGCAGCUGCCGGGGCGCUCCGGUGUGACGGGGGGCGACAUGUGCGGUGGGCCCGGCUGUGCUCCACUCGCUCCCCCAAGCUCCCACAUCUGGCUCGCCACCUGCCUGCGGGUCCUGCUGGCUCCCCUGUGCCGGGCCUGGCCACAGCAAUCCCCAUCAACCUGGUGACCCUAGGACCAGGAACGGACUUUGUCUGUGAGUCCACCCCUUCCCACCAUCCCUCCAGGCCCUCAGCCCUGCAGAUCCCGCAGCCAGAGUGUCUCCCGCUCGGCAGGCCUCCUCACUCUGGCUCCCUGUCCUCCAGCUCUCUCGGGCACCAGCCCCACGUCUCCCUGGCCCCCUGCCUAUCUCCCCUCCCCAGCUCCUGAUCUCCCCUGACAGGCUUCUUCCCCAUUGCCCCCUGCAAGCUGGCCGCUGAGCUGUUCACUGUGCACGCCACCGUCCUGUGCCAGCUUGCCACUCUUGUUUCAAGGUCUGCUCCCCUUUGCUCAGUAGGCCUCCCACGGCCUGUGAGCCACCUCCAAUUCGCCCUUGUGUCCCUCCACCGUAGCCUGCUUCCGCCCUCCCCCGCCCCCGGUCCAGAUCAGGGGCCGGCGCGCCAUAGCCACGUGCAGCCCACAGCCUGUUGCCGGAGAUAAACUUGGACUGGCACCCAGCAGGCCUGUUUGUUUACAGAUCGUCUGUGGAGGCUUUCACAUUGUGGGGGCAGAACUGAGAGACCACACGGUCUCCAAAGCCUAAAAUAUUUACUCUCUGGCCCUUUGCACGCUUCAGCCUCUGACAUCCCCUGAGCCCUCCCUCUCCCAUUUCUGCCCGUAGUGACCCUGUCCACCUCAGAAGAUCCACUCCAAAGCAGCUGCACUGGGCAUUCCUCACACAGCAUGGAUGGAGACCGUGCCGUGUGCUGGGAUGGUGUCCUUGCUCUCGGGGCACUCACGAGUUACUAACCCAGGCUGCUUGGAUCAGAAGCACCUCGAGAACUUGAAGGUGACAGCUCACGGCCCCUUGUUUUACUAUUGUAGUGUUUGGAUGGCCUGAGGCCAGGUGCCUGCCCCCUGAUUCUCUAGCACUUAACCCAGCAGUGUCUGUCAGACACUGAGGGUCACGGUCCCAUCGUGAGGGUCACACACUGUGGGUCCUUAUAGUCCGUUUGAGUUAACAAAGGAAUCUUUCUCCUCCCCUGGGUCUGAGUGCUUACCCUGGGGUCUGGACUCCACUUCCCCCCAUGCUUCCAGAUGCUUCUGGGAUCCUACCUCAGGCCAGAUGCUACUUGUCAGUGUGUCUCAAACUUCCGUACGUACUAGAAUCACCCAAGAUGUUGUCAGAAUGCAGACGAGAUUCUCUAGGUCUGGGAUGGAGCCCAAGACUCUGCAUUUCUAAACGCGCUCCGGAUGGUGCCGAGCCGCUGGCCCACACUUGGGGCAGCAGGGAUUGGUUCUCACUUCUGAUGUCACCCGAGAGUCCCUUGGGGGCUUUGGCAUGCUCAUGUCUGGGUCUUACCCCAGACCAACUGAAUCAUGCAGGGCAGCGAGGUGGGGCCCUGUGUCGCCGGGUGAUCUCAAGGUGCAGCCACAGCCACCAGUCUAGGAACGUGUGGAAAUGCAGGUGGUCAGGUUCUAGUCCUAGCCACUGAAUCAGAAACGCUAGGAGCGAGGCGCGAGAGCGACGAGAACCACGAGAACCACGAGAGCGACUAGAGCCACGGUCUUAGGAAUGCCUGACCUUGGCUCCACCCAUCAGCUCCUACCUGCUCUUCCUGCCUCUGGCCACCCCCCUCCAAUUCCUGCUUUCUUUGGCCUGGAUGGUAUGGUUCCAGAACACCAAUUUGUCUGGAUGCCUCUUCUGCUGAAAACAUUCCUAGGCUCCCUGUUGCCCUCAAAGCUGUGGAAGAACUUAGAGUCUCUUUGAGGUCUGAACCUUCCCAGCUCCCCUCCUGCAACAUCCGGGGCCCCGUCCCCUCCAGCCCAGGGACAUGGAACCAUGGGUAGUCCCCAGAGGCAGAAUGCUUUUCCUCUUCCACAUUGGUGUUGAAAAUACCUGGUCUCCGGGGCGCC
Long non-coding RNA from Ailuropoda melanoleuca (giant panda), 3169 nucleotides. RefSeq lists it as uncharacterized. NCBI's taxonomy places the organism in Eukaryota, Metazoa, Chordata, Mammalia, Carnivora, Ursidae. The transcript is spliced from 5 exons. The record is from RefSeq and is a predicted model, not a curated record.